RNAcentral lists this ribosomal RNA (505 nucleotides) under uncultured bacterium. Its description in RNAcentral is "bacterial SSU rRNA". It matches the Rfam family "Bacterial small subunit ribosomal RNA", at positions 24 to 518 of the family's 1533-position model. The record is from RNAcentral.
UCAGGAUGAACGCUAGCUACAGGCUUAACACAUGCAAGUCGAGGGGCAGCAUUGGGAUAGCUUGCUAUUCCAGAUGGCGACCGGCGCACGGGUGAGUAACGCGUAUCCAACCUUCCCCAUAGUAGGGCACAGCCCGGCGAAAGUCGGAUUAAUUCCCUAUGUUGUCCAGAGAGGACAUCUGACCUGGACGAAAGAUUCAUCGCUAUGGGAUGGGGAUGCGUCUGAUUAGGUUGCAGGCGGGUAACGGCCCACCUGGCCGACGAUCAGUAGGGGUUCUGAGAGGAAGGUCCCCCACAUUGGAACUGAGACACGGUCCAAACUCCUACGGGAGGCAGCAGUGAGGAAUAUUGGUCAAUGGACGGAAGUCUGAACCAGCCAAGUAGCGUGCAAGGAUGACGGCCCUAUGGGUUGUAAACUGCUUUUAUCAGGGGAUAAAGUGAGGUAUGUAUACCUUUUUGCAUGUACCUGAUGAAUAAGGACCGGCUAAUUCCGUGCCAGCCGCCGC